This 446-nucleotide ribosomal RNA is filed under the name uncultured bacterium. Its description in RNAcentral is "partial 16S ribosomal RNA". It matches the Rfam family "Bacterial small subunit ribosomal RNA", at positions 338 to 795 of the family's 1533-position model. The record is from RNAcentral.
CCUACGGGAGGCAGCAGUCGAGAAUUAUUCACAAUGGGGGAAACCCUGAUGGUGCGACGCCGCGUGGGGGAAUGAAGGUCUUCGGAUUGUAAACCCCUGUCAUGUGGGAGCAAAUUAAAAAGAUAGUACCACAAGAGGAAGAGACGGCUAACUCUGUGCCAGCAGCCGCGGUAAUACAGAGGUCUUAAGCGUUGUUCGGAAUCACUGGGCGUAAAGCGUGCGUAGGCUGUUUCGUAAGUCGUGUGUGAAAGGCGGGGGCUCAACCCGCGGACGGCAGAUGAAACUGGGAGACUAGAGUAAUGGAGGGGGAACCGGAAUUCUCGGUGUAGCAGUGAAAUGCGUAGAUAUCGAGAAGAACACUCGUGGCGAAGGCGGGUUCCUGGACAUUAACUGACGCUGAGGCACGAAGGCCAGGGGAGCGAAAGGGAUUAGAUACCCGAGUAGUC